ACGAGUGGCGAACGGGUGAGUAAUAUAUCGGAACGUGCCCAGUCGUGGGGGAUAACUGCUCGAAAGAGCAGCUAAUACCGCAUACGACCUGAGGGUGAAAGCGGGGGAUCGCAAGACCUCGCGCGAUUGGAGCGGCCGAUAUCAGAUUAGGUAGUUGGUGGGGUAAAAGCUCACCAAGCCAACGAUCUGUAGCUGGUCUGAGAGGACGACCAGCCACACUGGGACUGAGACACGGCCCAGACUCCUACGGGAGGCAGCAGUGGGGAAUUUUGGACAAUGGACGCAAGUCUGAUCCAGCCAUGCCGCGUGCGGGAAGAAGGCCUUCGGGUUGUAAACCGCUUUUGUCAGGGAAGAAACGGCCUUUUCUAAUACAGAGAGCUAAUGACGGUACCUGAAGAAUAAGCACCGGCUAACUACGUGCCAGCAGCCGCGGUAAUACGUAGGGUGCAAGCGUUAAUCGGAAUUACUGGGCGUAAAGCGUGCGCAGGCGGUUAUGCAAGACAGAUGUGAAAUCCCCGGGCUCAACCUGGGAACUGCAUUUGUGACUGCAUAGCUAGAGUACGGUAGAGGGGGAUGGAAUUCCGCGUGUAGCAGUGAAAUGCGUAGAUAUGCGGAGGAACACCGAUGGCGAAGGCA
This 636-nucleotide ribosomal RNA is filed under the name uncultured beta proteobacterium. Its description in RNAcentral is "bacterial SSU rRNA". It matches the Rfam family "Bacterial small subunit ribosomal RNA", at positions 91 to 723 of the family's 1533-position model. Lineage: Bacteria; Pseudomonadati; Pseudomonadota; Betaproteobacteria. The record is from RNAcentral.